GAGUUUUGGACCUGGCUCAGAUUGAACGCUGGCGGCAUGCCUUACACAUGCAAGUCGAACGGUAACAGGUUAAGCUGACGAGUGGCGAACGGGUGAGUAAUGUAUCGGAACGUGCCCAGUCGUGGGGGAUAACUGCUCGAAAGAGCAGCUAAUACCGCAUACGACCUGAGAGUGAAAGCGGGGGAUCGCAAGACCUCGCGCGAUUGGAGCGGCCGAUAUCAGAUUAGGUAGUUGGUGAGGUAAAGGCUCACCAAGCCGACGAUCUGUAGCUGGUCUGAGAGGACGACCAGCCACACUGGGACUGAGACACGGCCCAGACUCCUACGGGAGGCAGCAGUGGGGAAUUUUGGACAAUGGGCGCAAGCCUGAUCCAGCCAUGCCGCGUGCGGGAAGAAGGCCUUCGGGUUGUAAACCGCUUUUGUCAGGGAAGAAAAGGUUCUGGCUAAUACCUGGGACUCAUGACGGUACCUGAAGAAUAAGCACCGGCUAACUAC
RNAcentral lists this ribosomal RNA (494 nucleotides) under uncultured Roseateles sp. Its description in RNAcentral is "bacterial SSU rRNA". It matches the Rfam family "Bacterial small subunit ribosomal RNA", at positions 9 to 504 of the family's 1533-position model. Lineage: Bacteria; Pseudomonadati; Pseudomonadota; Betaproteobacteria; Burkholderiales; Sphaerotilaceae. The record is from RNAcentral.